GAACUUUCCAGAGAUGGAUUGGUGCCUUCGGGAACUGUGAGACAGGUGCUGCAUGGCUGUCGUCAGCUCGUGUUGUGAAAUGUUGGGUUAAGUCCCGCAACGAGCGCAACCCUUAUCCUUUGUUGCCAGCGGUCCGGCCGGGAACUCAAAGGAGACUGCCAGUGAUAAACUGGAGGAAGGUGGGGAUGACGUCAAGUCAUCAUGGCCCUUACGACCAGGGCUACACACGUGCUACAAUGGCGCAUACAAAGAGAAGCGACCUCGCGAGAGCAAGCGGACCUCAUAAAGUGCGUCGUAGUCCGGAUUGGAGUCUGCAACUCGACUCCAUGAAGUCGGAAUCGCUAGUAAUCGUGGAUCAGAAUGCCACGGUGAAUACGUUCCCGGGCCUUGUACACACCGCCCGUCACACCAUGGGAGUGGGUUGCAAAAGAAGUAGGUAGCUUAACCUUCGGGAGGGCGCUUACCACUUUGUGAUUCAUGACUGGGGUGAAGUCGUAACAAGGUAACCGUAGGGGAACCUGCGGUUGG
This 528-nucleotide ribosomal RNA is filed under the name Escherichia coli. Its description in RNAcentral is "bacterial SSU rRNA". It matches the Rfam family "Bacterial small subunit ribosomal RNA", at positions 993 to 1521 of the family's 1533-position model. Lineage: Bacteria; Pseudomonadati; Pseudomonadota; Gammaproteobacteria; Enterobacterales; Enterobacteriaceae. The record is from RNAcentral.